RNAcentral lists this small RNA (40 nucleotides) under Arabidopsis thaliana (thale cress). RNAcentral's name for it is "ATSL264910". The record is from RNAcentral. Lineage: Eukaryota; Viridiplantae; Streptophyta; Magnoliopsida; Brassicales; Brassicaceae.
AAGAUCUCGCGAAGCCCGUCUUCAUGGUCGAAUCCGCCAA